Molecule: ribosomal RNA, 253 nt
Filed under: uncultured bacterium
Lineage: Bacteria
Description: partial 16S ribosomal RNA
Rfam family: Bacterial small subunit ribosomal RNA
Source: RNAcentral
UACGGAGGGUGCAAGCGUUAUCCGGAUUCACUGGGUUUAAAGGGUGCGUAGGUGGGUCUGUAAGUCAGUGGUGAAAUCUUCGAGCUUAACUCGGAAACUGCCACUGAUACUACGGAUCUUGAAUUUUCUGGAGGUAAGCGGAAUAUGUCAUGUAGCGGUGAAAUGCUUAGAUAUGACAUAGAACACCAAUUGCGAAGGCAGCUUACUACGGGAACAUUGACACUGAUGCACGAAAGCGUGGGGAUCAAACAGG